GGAACAGCUGUGGUCCACUCUUGAGCUCUAGCAACUUGCAUUCAUUCCCUUUCAAGGUUUUGUUGGGGUUUUUUGCUUUAGUGGAGGCACGGCAGCUUGUUGUGGGGGCUAGGCGUGUGUGGUGGAAUCCCACCUGAUGCAUGUGUGUGUACAUACACACUAGGAAAUAGGACUGCAGUGAGACUACACUGCUGGUUCGCUGUUGGAGGAGGAGGGUGACAUUUUAAUAAAAUACCAGGCAUGCUGUCUCUUUCCUUCACUCCUUUGGUGACAAGAACCCUAUCUCAUAUGAUAAAAAUAUCCCAGUUUUGCUUUCUUAAGGAAUGAGGAAUGACUCACAGUGUGCAUUAGCAGUCACCUGUACCGAAUAAAUGAGCUGUGGCAUAAAGCAGGGCUGAAGUGCUAUGUUAGAAUAAGGAUAUCUUGUUACCGGAGCUGUCCAUCACAGUGAAUGUGAGCCCACCUCCGAUCCCCGAACUCUGUGGGUUGAUGAUGGAGGUGCACAGCAGUGCAGCAAUGGCAGCAUCUACUGCAGAGCCACCUUU
Oreochromis aureus is the source of this 545-nucleotide long non-coding RNA. RefSeq lists it as uncharacterized. The transcript is spliced from 5 exons. The record is from RefSeq and is a predicted model, not a curated record. Lineage: Eukaryota; Metazoa; Chordata; Actinopteri; Cichliformes; Cichlidae.